RNAcentral lists this ribosomal RNA (497 nucleotides) under uncultured bacterium. RNAcentral's name for it is "partial 16S ribosomal RNA". It matches the Rfam family "Bacterial small subunit ribosomal RNA", at positions 28 to 507 of the family's 1533-position model. The record is from RNAcentral.
GAUGAACGCUGGCGGCGUGCCUAAUACAUGCAAGUCGAGCGAACGGACGAGAACCUUUCUUCUCUGAUGUUAACCGCGGAAGUGAGAGUAACACGUGGAUAACCUACCUAUAAGACUGGGAUAAAUUCGGGUAACCGGAGCUAAUACCGGCUAAUAUUUAAAGCCGCAUAGUUCAAAAGUAAAAGACGGCUUUGCUGUUUCUUAUGGAUGGAUCCACGCUGCAUUGGCGAGUUGGUAAGGUAAAGGCUUACCAAGGCAACGAUGCGUAGCCGACCUGAGAGGAUGAUCAGCCACACUGGAACUGAGACACGGCCCAGACUCCUACGGGAGGCAGCAGUGGGGAAUUUUGCACAAUGGGCGCAAGCCUGACGGAGCAACGCCGCGUGAGUGAAGAAGGUCUUCGGAUCGUAAACCUCUGUUAUUAGGGAAGAACAUAUGUGGAAGUAACUGUGCAGAUCUUGACGGUACCUAAUCAGAAAGCCACGGCUAACUACGUG